GCACGUGUGCCUUCAAAAUAUGUGGACAGGUUUAGGGGCCGCAAGCCAUAUCCCACACAAAAUGUCCUAGCUGCCGUGGAUUUCGAUCUUAGAUUCACGUAUGUUCUAGUAGGGUGGGAGGGAUCUGCUCAUGAUUCUGCUGUAUUGCAUGAUGCCCUAUCUCGUCCAAAUGGUCUCAAAAUUCCAGAAGGAAAAUUUUAUUUGGCUGAUGCUGGGUAUGCCACCAGGCCGGACAUAUUGCCACCCUAUCGAGGUGUUCGCUAUCAUCUACAGGAGUUCCAUGGUCCGAAUCAUCCAACCUGUCCAAAAGAGCUGUUCAACCACCGUCAUUCCUCACUAAGGACAACGGUCGAGGUGGUUAUUGCUUGUUGCGUCAUUCACAACUGGAUUUUAGACAAUGGACCCGAUGAGUUUGUAGAUGAUGAACCAACUUGGUACCACCACCUGCCAAGGAGUAGCAAUCGUGUCUCCGACCGAGAGAGUGAUGUACGC
This 492-nucleotide ribosomal RNA is filed under the name Triticum aestivum (bread wheat). RNAcentral describes it as "partial small subunit ribosomal RNA". The record is from RNAcentral. Lineage: Eukaryota; Viridiplantae; Streptophyta; Magnoliopsida; Poales; Poaceae.